GUAGGUGGCAAGCGUUGUCCGGGAAUUAUUGGGGCGUAAAGCGCGCGCAGGCGGUUCUUUAAGUCUGAUGUGAAAGCCCACGGGCUCAACCGUGGAGGGUCAUUGGAAACUGGAGAACUUGAGUACAGAAGAGGAAAGCGGAAUUCCACGUGUAGCGGUGAAAUGCGUAGAGAUGUGGAGGAACACCAGUGGCGAAGGCGGCUUCCUGGUCUGUAACUGACGCUGAGGCGCGAAAGCGUGGGGAGCAAACAGGAUUAGAUACCCUGGUAGUCCACGCCGUAAACGAUGAGUGCUAAGUGUUAGGGGGUUUCCGCCCCUUAGUGCUGCAGCUAACGCAUUAAGCACUCCGCCUGGGGAGUACGGCCGCAAAGGCUGA
Molecule: ribosomal RNA, 376 nt
Filed under: uncultured organism
Description: partial 16S ribosomal RNA
Rfam family: Bacterial small subunit ribosomal RNA
Source: RNAcentral